Molecule: transfer RNA, 67 nt
Filed under: Sigmodon hispidus (hispid cotton rat)
Lineage: Eukaryota; Metazoa; Chordata; Mammalia; Rodentia; Cricetidae
Description: tRNA-Thr
Rfam family: tRNA
About the family: Transfer RNA (tRNA) molecules are approximately 80 nucleotides in length. Their secondary structure includes four short double-helical elements and three loops (D, anti-codon, and T loops).
Source: RNAcentral
GCCCUGAUAGUAUAAACAUUACUCUGGUCUUGUAAACCAAAAAUGAAGCUUCCAGCUUCUCAGGACA